Ictidomys tridecemlineatus (thirteen-lined ground squirrel) is the source of this 2515-nucleotide non-coding RNA. The record is from RefSeq and is a predicted model, not a curated record. Lineage: Eukaryota; Metazoa; Chordata; Mammalia; Rodentia; Sciuridae.
UUUAAAUAUUUAUAUGCUGUGCCCAUUUUUACAGCCACACAGCCAACUCUCAUCACAGGUAUAAGUCAGGGUAGGCAGUAGAAGAGCUUCAGGAAGGAUCCUGCCCGAGGCUGUUUUCUCUUGCAGUAACAAAAUACCUGUGACUGGGUACUUUAUAAAGAGGCUUAUUGGGCUCAGAAUUCUGAUGGCUAGAGGGUCCAACUAGCAUGGCCCCAGUGGUCUGGAGAAAGCCCACUCGCUGUAUCACAGCAUCUCAGAGAAACAGAAAGGGACACCAACUGCAUGCUGCAGAGGUCAAGUACAUGAGGUGGCCUCACUUUAUAGCCAUUUGUUUACAUGAGCACUAACUCACUUCAGAGCCCAGCAUUAAUCCCUUCAGAAGGCAGUGAGUGUCCCUGCAACCUAAUGAUCUCCCACUAAGCCCCGCAUUGUAAAGGUCCUGCCACCUCAACACCACCACCACCCUGAGGACUGAGCUUCUGGGACAUGAACCUCAAGAAGAUGCUCUCAAACCAUAGGUCAACCAUAGCAGAUACCCCGAUAUUUCCCCAAAGGAACCCCCCACGAACCUUUGGUUUACUAGAUAAAAUUGUUUGAAAUGUAACUUCUAUCUUCUCAUCUCUACAUAGACAGCUUGCUAACCUCUUAAUAUGUACCAUUCUGGUAUGUUGAUAGGCCUGGCGCUGAAGGGAAGGAAUGGUAAGAAAUAACUAAGACAUAAUCUUUGACCAAAAAGGGCUGACAAUUAGUGACGGAGAACCCACGAAAGACGUGCAUAGCUUCUUCUCUUAAGGAAUUCAUAGUGCAAAUUGGGAAAAGUGAAAUAUCGGUCACAGAUAAAAGAAACUAUUGAUUUAUUGCACUGGUGAGGACAGGGAGCAGGAUUCUGGCUAUGUCUGGUCUUCUGGUGACCUGACUGGGUUUUAUUUAACAUUUUGAGUCCUCACACAUGGGUCCCUAUAAGUCUAUGAAGACAGUUCAACCACUUGUCCUUGUCCUUACUUCCCAGUUGAUAGACUAGCAAGGAAUGACACUCAUUUUUCACAUUUACACUAGACCAAGGAAGUAUUAGCCCAGAACUUCUGUCUACCAUUAUAUAAUCUUGGGCAAAUUACUUAACCUUCUGCCCUUCAGUUUCCUCACCUGUAAAAUGUGAUAUACAUAAAAUUGCAAUUAUUUUGGAGGGCAAAAAUACAGAUCACUCAAACUUAAUUUUAGCACAUAUUAAACAUUCAAGCUGAUAGGUAUCAUUUCUAUUCUCUUCAUAUUUUGCUACAGAAUCAGUAAAAACAGAUUACACCAAUGCCCUCUUUCCGGUCAAAAAUUCAUAUCUGAAUACUCAUGAAUGGUUUUCAAGGGAAUGAUUGAACUGUUUGUUAGAUGUAUUAUAAACUUUUUUUUUUUUUGCUUUUGCUUUUAGAAGGUCUGUUAGUCAGCUUUUCAAUACUGUGACCAAAGUGAUGAUGAGAACAUCUUAAAAGAGGAAAAGAAUAUUUUGGAUGACCACUUCAGAAGUUUCAGUUUAAGUUGGGCCAUUUCCAUUGCUCUGGGACCAAGUAACUGAAUCCAAGGAGAAGGUCAUGGGAACUCACAAUUUAUAGCCAGUUGAUGAGAAGCACCGGUCACAACCUGGGACCUGAGAUCAGCAUCCAAAGAGGAAGGCAAUCUUGUGAGACUGAGUCCUGAAGCUGUGGGGUCUACACUGACUCUGAUUCGUGUCAGAAGUGAACUUCAUCUUAGGACAUCCAGUUGAUACCUGCUGGAGAACUGAUGUGCGGGGAAGAAAACAAAUGAAACAGACCUCUGGUGCCAGAAGUGCCCAUGUUGUAUUGAAUGAGAGUGUAAUAGGGGACAAAACACUUUGUUUUUCCUUCCCUAUGUAGUGAACCAGCCAAGUGAAAGAAAGGGAUGAAGAAACCUGUUUUUGCUUUGAAUCCUGUGUUUUCUGUCUGUAGAGGAGAAAACAGGUAAGAUACUCAGGCCACAGAAUGGCCAGGUAAAACACAGGGAGCUCAGAGCCAUCAAACUCAGCACUUUCGAUAGAUUAACCACUGGACACAUAUGCCCAGGAAUCAAGGACAAGGACCAAAUCCGGAUACUUGAAAAAUCUUACCUUCACUCUAAAUGGGCUCAACUGGUCAUUGAGAAUGAUAUUGGUAAUUUUGGAAUAGGGUCUGUCUGUACACCAGCAAAGCACUUGGGUGCACUAGGAAAGAAAUGUAAAGAAAACAGAUGAGCUGUAUAUAAACUGACACUGUAAGGAAACAUGAAAAAUUAAACAUGAUUAUGAAGAUGAUGUCUCUAUUAUUUAGUAUAUUACAGAUUAUUAUAUUUUCUCACUAAUUCCCCUCUGGCUUUAUGCUUAAAAUAUAUAUAUACUAAAUCACUGGUCUUCUUAACAUCCAUGAACCCUUUCAGAUACGUUUCAAAACCUGUCCAGAAUAUAUUGCAAAUAUUCUUUUCAAUGAAUAAAUACAUCACUGAGGUGAUUCUAAAUAAACCAAAUGUUAAAAAA